RNAcentral lists this ribosomal RNA (425 nucleotides) under uncultured bacterium. Its description in RNAcentral is "partial 16S ribosomal RNA". It matches the Rfam family "Bacterial small subunit ribosomal RNA", at positions 354 to 796 of the family's 1533-position model. The record is from RNAcentral.
GUGGGGAAUAUUGGACAAUGGGGGAAACCUUGAUCCAGCGACGCCGCGUGAGUGAAGAAGUAUUUCGGUAUGUAAAGCUCUAUCAGCAGGGAAGAAAAUGACGGUACCUGACUAAGAAGCCCCGGCUAACUACGUGCCAGCAGCCGCGGUAAUACGUAGGGGGCAAGCGUUAUCCGGAUUUACUGGGUGUAAAGGGAGCGUAGACGGCACUGCAAGUCUGGAGUGAAAGCCCGGGGCUCAACCCCGGGACUGCUUUGGAAACUGUGGUGCUGGAGUGCAGGAGAGGUAAGUGGAAUUCCUAGUGUAGCGGUGAAAUGCGUAGAUAUUAGGAGGAACACCAGUGGCGAAGGCGGCUUACUGGACUGUAACUGACGUUGAGGCUCGAAAGCGUGGGGAGCAAACAGGAUUAGAAACCCUUGUAGUCC